GAUAUACUCCCUCCUUCCUAAAAUUCUUGUCUUACAUUUGUCUAGAUAUAAAUGCAUCUAGUCAUGUUUUAGUAUUUAGAUACAUUAAUUUUUGAACAAAUCUAAGACAAGAAUUUUAAGACGAAGGGAGUAUAAG
Molecule: non-coding RNA, 136 nt
Organism: Hordeum vulgare subsp. vulgare (domesticated barley)
Lineage: Eukaryota; Viridiplantae; Streptophyta; Magnoliopsida; Poales; Poaceae
Source: Rfam